Molecule: long non-coding RNA, 1070 nt
Filed under: Mytilus galloprovincialis (Mediterranean mussel)
Lineage: Eukaryota; Metazoa; Mollusca; Bivalvia; Mytilida; Mytilidae
Source: RNAcentral
GAAUAACUGUUUACUUCUGUCUGUUUCAUAAUAGUUUCAUCACUUUAAUUUUAACUACUCAUCAGAUUUGAUAUCACCUUGCAUUUGAUAAAGCUUUAGCAGGGAAUGUAUUUUCACAUUCAAUCCAUUAACUCCCUGUUUUCAAAAUACUGACAUAAUCUUACAGGUAAUAACCAUGGAAGAAAAUUGCACAUCUCCUCAGGAACAAUGAAUCAUGACUAUCAAAAAUUGGUCUAUUAAAUAUUUUAAUCUGUAUUGAUUACAGUCAUGCUCAUAUAUGUUUUAAUCACACUCUUUAAAAUGGCAGCGUUUAGAAAAGUAUUUUGUAUUAUAAAUGUAAAUUUUGUUUUGUCAUCCCAAUUUCAGUAAAUUAUAUCAUCUUAAAAUGUGCUCUCAUUGUUCUGUCUUUGAUUAUAGUAACAGACUUAUUGGGUUUUUUUUUCGGCGUUUCUGCAUUAAUAAGGUUUUGCAAUGAACAACUGGCUGACCACUGUUAGCGUUACUAAUACUGAAUGUUUAAAACAAAUACACAGUAUAGAAGAUGUUUUUGUUUUUGUAUGCACACAAGUUGUUCCUAUAUAUAUUUAUAUAAAAGAGAUGAAAAAGUCUACAAUCUCAAAUAAUGUGUAUUUGAACUGAGGCUACAUCAUUGGCAACAGUGUUUGGCUGGUGUCCUGUUUUGUGUGAAGCUAAUUGAAAAGGUAUUAGUGAAAAUGAAGUAAAAUGAAGAGUAUUUCAAACUUAGAUCAUUGGUGCUUCCGUAAUCAUAUAAAAACAAACAUUUAAAACUUCUAUGUUUCAUAUGGCUCAUUGUCUGUCAUGCUGUCUUGAAACAAAAACGUAAUAAGUCCGUUGCCAAACAUGAUUAGUGUGAAAACGCUGAAAAAAGUCUGCUACCAUUCUAUACAUUGUUAUGGUUCUCAUAAAGUUUUGUCUCUUGAACUUGACUUUUGAAUUCUACACAUUGUUAUGGUUCUCAAAAAAGUUUCGUCUCUUGAACUUGACUUUUGUCUUUUUUUGUUACAAGUCUUUUAGUGGUAAAAUAGUUUUAUUUUGAAUUAAUGUGUUCA